AACUGCUCAUGCUCAGAUGCAUCAGCUGUAAUACUAGGGCUGUGAAUAGGCAGUUCUUUUUCCAUUACUGAAGGAGAGGCAAAGUCUACAGAGUAGGAAGACGAAUCCCUCACUAAGAGGAUUGGAGAACAAAAGCUGGGAAGUGGGUUUAGCAGCCUUCACUUAAUUCUGAUCCAACAGGGAAGAGAGAAGAGCUGGGUGUGAAACAAAGAUAUAGUAUAUUUCAUUCUGAAGGAUCCCAAAGCACUUCACAUAGUAAGUCCUUACACCAGCUCUGAACUGAAGACAUCACUGGGAUGGAUGGUGUUAGCCAACUAAUACAGAGCAAUAUGAUAUAACACGUGCCCUCUACUGUGCAUCUCAGCAACUCCUUCUGAUACCAAGAACUAGAGAGAAACAUGUCUACGAAAACAAAGGAAGCCACCGCAGGUCAGAAGCAAGCAGCAAAUUUGAAAAUGCUGUGGAAAUAAAUAAAUACACAAAUUUGUGCACCUG
Molecule: long non-coding RNA, 495 nt
Organism: Mauremys reevesii (Reeves's turtle)
Lineage: Eukaryota; Metazoa; Chordata; Testudines; Geoemydidae
Exons: 3
Source: RefSeq, a predicted model, not a curated record